GAUCAACUCUUGCCCGGGGAAGUCUUAUGAAACGAACGUAAUUAGUUACAUGAAAUGGUUUGAUUAGCUAAAAUCGAUUAAGUUAAAGUUAACACAAAUAAAAUAUUAAAACAAUUAAAAGGAGCGAGUUAGGCAGAGUAAAUAAAUAAAUAAAUGUAACCUGUAUAAGACCAAUAUCAUUAAUCAUUGUCCGAAAAUGAAAUUCUUGAUGCGGUAUAAACCUAUAAAUAUUCUGGACUUGCCAUGUGGGGGCAAAUUUAAGAUUAGCACUACCUGCUACGACUACAAAAAGCCAAGGAUUCAUGACCGUCCAGAGUACCUGAGGCAAAGACAAUGAGCGGCGGUCAAUACAAAUGUAGGUCUAAUAUAACUACCGCCACAGAAAUGUUCGGAAUCAUGCCGCCAUUGCAUUGAAACCUAAUUUAAUAUUUAACUGUUGCCAAUAAUAAUAGUUUAAUUAACCAAAAUAACUAUUCAGCAGCGAGAGACUUACCAUAAAAGAUGUGUAACACACACAAUACGCUUGAAAUAACGAUCGGUGUGAGUCCACGUGGAAGAACAGCCAACGAAGUUGUCGGAGAGGGACCAGGAAUUAUUUCCACUAGACAUAAAUAAAUAAUUAUAAAUAGUAAAUGUCA
This is a long non-coding RNA of Cotesia glomerata, 638 nucleotides long. RefSeq lists it as uncharacterized. NCBI's taxonomy places the organism in Eukaryota, Metazoa, Arthropoda, Insecta, Hymenoptera, Braconidae. The transcript has 3 exons. The record is from RefSeq and is a predicted model, not a curated record.